Molecule: ribosomal RNA, 485 nt
Filed under: uncultured bacterium
Lineage: Bacteria
Description: partial 16S ribosomal RNA
Rfam family: Bacterial small subunit ribosomal RNA
Source: RNAcentral
AUUGAACGCUGGCGGCAUGCCUUACACAUGCAAGUCGAGCGGCAGCGGGCCCUUCGGGGUGCCGGCGAGUGGCGAACGGGUGAGUAAUGCAUCGGAACGUACCCGGGAGAGGGGGAUAACCGGCCGAAAGGCUGGCUAAUACCGCAUGAACUCGGAAGAGCAAAGCGGGGGACCUUCGGGCCUCGCGCUCUCGGAGCGGCCGAUGUCCGAUUAGGCUAGUUGGUGGGGUAAAGGCCCACCAAGGCGACGAUCGGUAGCGGGUCUGAGAGGACGAUCCGCCACACUGGGACUGAGACACGGCCCAGACUCCUACGGGAGGCAGCAGUGGGGAAUCUUGGACAAUGGGCGCAAGCCUGAUCCAGCAAUGCCGCGUGGGUGAAGAAGGCCUUCGGGUUGUAAAGCCCUUUCGGCGGGGAAGAAAUCGGUCAGGCGAAUAGUCUGGCCGGAUGACGGUACCCGCAGAAGAAGCACCGGCUAACUACGUG